This 457-nucleotide long non-coding RNA is filed under the name Oryctolagus cuniculus (rabbit). RNAcentral describes it as "lncRNA (ENSOCUG00000030640.1)". The record is from RNAcentral. Lineage: Eukaryota; Metazoa; Chordata; Mammalia; Lagomorpha; Leporidae.
AUGGAAACUGUGAGUACGUCCCCGAGGGAACGCGAACUCACUGCGGGAUGUGGCCGAGGAAUCCCUAUAAACCACACCCCCGGCAGCGCCCUCAUUUUCUUUGGUUCGCACCAGAACGCAGCGAUCUGGGAAAACGAUGUGUGUCAGCGGACCUGUCAUCCCAAGGAAAGGACCCGCACGGCCCGGUACAGGCAAGCUCCGCCCCCCUUCAAGGACAGCAAGUCCCUGGAUACAGGAAACAGGUGCCCAGGCCGUGCAGAGAUACCAGGCGACAAUGAUUAUGCCAACCAAGCAGCUGUUCCUGAGAAAAAUAAGCAAUGUGUCCGCCUCCGCGAGCCGGAGCUGGCCCUGGUUUCCAACAUGGGUCUUGGAAGUCACCCCUGUGCCGGAAAUUCACCAUUGCAAGAAAAACGGAGGCCAAACACAUUUCAGGAGAAUAGGAAAUGACACUGGUUGA